Molecule: ribosomal RNA, 206 nt
Filed under: uncultured bacterium
Lineage: Bacteria
Description: partial 16S ribosomal RNA
Rfam family: Bacterial small subunit ribosomal RNA
Source: RNAcentral
CACGUAGGCGGUUCGUCGCGUCCGGUGUGAAAGUCCAUCGCCUAACGGUGGAUCUGCGCCGGGUACGGGCGGGCUGGAGUGCGGUAGGGGAGACUGGAAUUCCCGGUGUAACGGUGGAAUGUGUAGAUAUCGGGAAGAACACCAAUGGCGAAGGCAGGUCUCUGGGCCGUUACUGACGCUGAGGAGCGAAAGCGUGGGGAGCGACA